RNAcentral lists this ribosomal RNA (462 nucleotides) under uncultured bacterium. RNAcentral describes it as "partial 16S ribosomal RNA". It matches the Rfam family "Bacterial small subunit ribosomal RNA", at positions 31 to 507 of the family's 1533-position model. The record is from RNAcentral.
GAACGCUGGCGGCGUGCUUAACACAUUCAAGUCGAACGGAAAGGCCCCUUUGGGGGUACUCGAGUGGCGAACGGGUGAGUAACACGUGAGUAACCUGCCCUUGACUUCGGGAUAACUUCAGGAAACUGGGGCUAAUACCGGAUAGGAAUCCUUGCUGCAUGGUGGGGGUUGGAAAGCUUCGGCGGUUUUGGAUGGACUCGCGGCUUAUCAGCUUGUUGGUGGGGUAGUGGCUUACCAAGGCUUUGACGGGUAGCCGGCCUGAGAGGGCGACCGGCCACAUUGGGACUGAGAUACGGCCCAGACUCCUACGGGAGGCAGCAGUGGGGAAUAUUGCACAAUGGGCGGAAGCCUGAUGCAGCAACGCCGCGUGCGGGAUGACGGCCUUCGGGUUGUAAACCGCUUUCAGCAGGGGCGAAGCUUGUGGUGACGGUACCUGCAGAAGAAGCACCGGCUAACUACGUG